GGCGGAUGUAGCCAAGUGGAUCAAGGCAGUGGAUUGUGAU
Molecule: transfer RNA, 40 nt
Filed under: Amphibromus pithogastrus
Lineage: Eukaryota; Viridiplantae; Streptophyta; Magnoliopsida; Poales; Poaceae
Description: partial tRNA-His
Source: RNAcentral